CACUCUAAAGGGACUGCCGGUGUUAAACCGGAGGAAGGGUGGGGAUGACGUCAAGUCCUCAUGGCCUUUAUGACCAGGGCUACACACGUACUACAAUGGCCGAUACAAAGGGCAGCGACACUGCGAGGUGAAGCCAACUACCCGUAAAAUCGGUCUCAGUCCGGAUUGGAGUCUGCAACUCGACUCCAUGAAGUUGGAAUCGCUAGUAAUCGUGGAUCAGCAUGCCACGGUGAAUACGUUCCCGGGCCUU
RNAcentral lists this ribosomal RNA (250 nucleotides) under uncultured Desulfobulbus sp. RNAcentral describes it as "partial 16S ribosomal RNA". It matches the Rfam family "Bacterial small subunit ribosomal RNA", at positions 1136 to 1382 of the family's 1533-position model. The record is from RNAcentral. Lineage: Bacteria; Pseudomonadati; Thermodesulfobacteriota; Desulfobulbia; Desulfobulbales; Desulfobulbaceae.